GUGGGGGUGUGUGUGACAUUGUGUCUGGGGCCUUGGGAGGUAACACUGAGGUGGGGAUUGCUAGGAGGAGAGGUUCCGCGGUGUUUGAGUGGAUGCGGAGUGGCGGGGGUCAGGUGCCUGAGGAUCGAGGGGCCGGAGUGUAUACUAUUCCGUUUUGUAAUAUUGAUGAGGGGUGCUCCCAACAAUGCAUGGGCGGCGCAGGGAGAGGUCUGGGGACGGGGCUGGCGGAGCAUGGAGCGGACAUCGAGAGGGGACGAUUGACUGCGGCCUUGGUGGGGAGGACCUGCAAACGGGAUCUUGAUGUAAUGUGGAAAGGUGC
This 319-nucleotide long non-coding RNA is filed under the name Androctonus crassicauda. Lineage: Eukaryota; Metazoa; Arthropoda; Arachnida; Scorpiones; Buthidae. The record is from RNAcentral.